CGCCAGGGGAUGCAAACCCUUCUGCCCCUUUUUGCGAUCCCUGAAGCUUACUGUUAGUGGUCGAGUUUUUCUGGAAGUGGGCUUCCGCGAUCGCGGGGACCAACGCCCUGAGCUCUUGUGCCCAAAGGGGAUCGCCAGGUUUUUUGAUGCGGAUCGAAAGGGACUGGCCCCGGAGCCUACAACCUGACGCAGGUGGGACUUGGGGAAAUGUCGAGAAACCUAGGUCUGGGACUUGAAUUGGCUUCCAGGGCAAACAUUCUUGUUCAGAAGAAACACACUGCAAAAAUCGGGAGGUGACGGGCAGAUGAAGUGUCGGCGCUUCGCCUCGGGACUCCAGUGCAACCUACGGGGCUUUUGGAAAGGAGGAAGUCGAUGACUCUGCAAGGACUCCUCUGACCCAGGAGCAGAUGGCGCUCGUCUGGGCACUCCCCAGGAGAAAAGGUGCAUCGGGAAGCAGCCUGGCUUGUGGAUGGUGGACAAGGUGGAGGAGAGAGUAUUCCUUGGCAGCAGUAUUAUGAACAAAUGCAGGGCUGAGAAACAGCAUGGUGGCCUUGACUAAGUUUAUGGACAGCAGAUAAGGAAACAGCUGAAUUUAUGUCACUUGCCCAAUGUCACACAACUAGCAAGACUGACUCCUUGAAGCUCAUCACAUGCUAGAGUGCAGUGGCGCGAUCUCAGCUCACUGAAACCUCUGCCUCCCGGGUUCAAGUGAUUCUCCUGCCUCCGCCACGCGAUGCCUCUUCAUGGGUGGUGGAUGAAGAAACUGAACAGGGCCAUGAUCCUUAUCUGUAAUUUCCCGGCUACCACACUGCUUUGGUGGUCUUCCCUCGUCUCUUCCUGGGUAGAAACAGAACUACCUGGAGAUCCCAGUGUUCUUGUCAGUGCACUUUUCAUGGACUGCAGUGGUAAGACGAUGUGUUGGAUGCCCAAACACAAACCAAGUAAGUCCUGGAUUUAAAAAGGAAGGGCUAAAUGUCAUUACUAACCUGAGCCUCAGUGCUCCCUCCCGUCAUUUCCCUCACAACUACUUCUUCCUGCUGACAUCCACCAAACUUUACUAUGUGACCUUUAGAACUGGGGGACUCUGAAACCAGAGAGAGCCCUGAAAAGAACUUAUACCUCUCUCUCUCUCUCUUUAGCCUACUUCAUACUGGGUGGAAUUUUUAUGAUUAGCGCCCUUCUCCUCUCAUUCUGCUUGAACUUUUUGUUGCUGACCUUCCCUCAGUUAUUCCCUGAGACCCAGAAACAGUAUAUUUUCUGUGCAUCCAUCUGCAUUGUCACAGGAGCCCUCUGCCUUCGCAAUUCCCGGUGCUGUGGAGCUGUCAGAGUUUUAACAUCUCAACCAAGCCACAUGGAUACUAUUUCCUCAGAAAAGACAAAAUUGAUCCAAGCAGAAGAGUGAACUUACCGAAGAGGACUCUCUACCCAUAACUGGGGAUGCCUCAGCCACUCACACUUACUCCAAGAUUAGUGUCACUGAUUGUGGAAAGAGUUGACUUCUUCCCCUGGUCUUGCUCAUUUUUCUAGAGCCCAGGACAAUAAAUGUGUUUUAUGGCAGAGAAAAGUGAAGACGGGUGGAAUUGUGUGUGUUGAGAGAGAAGCAGAUAGGCAAUCUUAUGCUUUGGCUCCUAGAUUAUGGAGGUGCCUCUUUUCUAUCAUCUCCAUAAAUCCUACCCUUACUGCGCUUCCUAUUCUGCAGGGGUAUUUUGUUGUCCGUAAGAGAACUCCUCCUCUAUCUGUAAAGUUUAGGUUUUGAUAAAAAAUCCUUUUCCCUCCAGAAGCGUCUACUAAAAAUACAAAAAAAUUAGCCGGGUGUGGUGGCAUGCACCUGUAGUCCCAGUUACUCAGGAGACUGAGGCAGGAGAAUCGCUUGAAACUGGGAGGCGGAGGUCGCAGUGAGCCGAGAUCACGCCACCACACUCCAGCCUGGGUGAGAGUGAUACUCCAUCUCAAAAAACAAAUGAACAAUAAAAAAACAAACAAAAAAGAAAUAAAUGUCUAGGGCUAGGUGCCAUGGCUCAUGCCUAUAAUCCCAGCACUUAGGGAGACAUAGGUGGGCAGAUAACUUGAGGUCGGGAUUUCGAGACCAGCUGGACAACAUGUCAAAACCCUGUCUCUAUUACAAAUACAAAAAUUAGCCAGGUUUGGUGGCCCACACCCAUUGGGAGGCUAAGGCAUGAAAGUCAUUUGAACCUGUGGAACCUGGGAGGUGGAGGUUGCAGGGAGCCAAGAUCAUGCCACUGCAGGUGAGCCUGGAUGACAGAGCAAGACUCUGUCUCAAAAAAAAAAAAAAAGAGAGAGAGAAAGAAAUAAGUGUCUAGAAUAUUUUAAAGGCUAUGGAAAUAAAGCAGGAAUAUUUUCAUGAAAGGCAGCUUAUAGCGGAUGAGGAUGGUUUUCUCUUUAGGGUAAAGGAACUAAUAUUUAUUAAGCACUUACUAUUUAUCAGGCAGUAUGUGACAUACAAUGUAUGUGGGAGUGUGUGUGUGUCUUUCCUCACAAUUAUUUUAUAGAGUAGGGGUUAGUACAAUGAAGAUGUUGUAGCUUAGAGAGAGGAAGUGGCAAAACCAGAAUUGGAAAACAAGACUGUUGGGCUCCAAGGUCCAUGCACUUUUCCCCUUUAAAGGUCUUAGGUAAAGAGUAGACCCAUUUGGAUAGGCCCAAACUAACAGUCUAUCUCCAGAGUCUUUGUCCUAAAUUCUUUACCCCACUGCCUUCUGAGAGGAAGUUCAUCUUUUUACCAGGGAGUAGCCACCUUCAGAAGAAUUCUCCUGUCUAUAUAACCAAAUUAAUAGAAUCCUGGUAAAUCAACUGGAAUGUUAACUGUUCUGAUUUUCAACUGUUUUUACCUUCAUCAUUAAUACUGAAUAUGGACUGUAGGUUGGAUAACUGCUGUUCAAGGUAAGGAACUCUGAGCAGCAGCCUUGAGCUACCAAGGCAUUAAAUAGGAUUUUUGCUUAAAAAUCCUAUAUUUUGCUUAAAAAUAUUAAAAAUAUGACUGAGUAUAUGUAUAUAUUCCCCCCCACAUUCCAAAGAUAAACACUGUUAAGCAUGUUAAGCACAUUUUACUGUAUAUAUAUGGGUGGCAUAUGUGUGUGUGUGUGUAUACAUAUAUACACAUACACUUCUAGACAUUUAUAUACAUGUGUUGUGUGUAUAUGUUGUGUAUGUUUUUAAAAAGGGAUUGUCUUUGGCUGGGCACAGUGGCUCAUGCCUGUAAUCCCAGCACUCUGGGAGGCUGAGGCAGGAGGAUUCCUUGAGCUCAGGUUUCAAGAGCAGCCUGGCCAACAUGGCAAAACCCCAUCUCUACUAAAAAUACAAAAAUUUAAAAAAAGAAAUUUAUCUGGAUGUGGUGGCGCCGCCUGUAAUCUCAGCUACUUGGGAGGCUGAGGCAGGAGAAUCGCUUGAAGGUGGGAGGCAGAGGUUGCAGUAAGCUGAGAUUGCUCCACUGCAUUCCAGCCUGGGUGACAGAGUGAGACCCCAUCUCAAAAAAAAAGUUGGGGCAGGGGGGGAAUUGCUAUCCUAUUAAAAAUUUUUGAUCUUUUUUUUAAAAAACUUAAUGCUAUUUCUUGAACACCUUUACUUAAAGAAAAUAGAUAGCUAAAUAUUGCAGUAUGAAGAAAAAGGUCAAUAAAUAUUUGUUGAAUUAAUGUAACAUUUCCUUUGAUCACCAGCUGCUUCUAAUUCCCUACUUCAGGUAUUGUUGAAUACUACAUUGCUUUAGGCAAAAAGUGUUUCAUUUCUCAUUGGAUCAAAAACUAUUAAGGAUGUCAUUUUCUCUUCUUCCUUUGAGUUCCAAUAAAUCUACAUUUUUUCUUGUUCCCUUGUUUAGAGGUGCAAUGGAAAAGAAGUUUGCAGAUUGUACUCCUGCCUGGUUGGAUAAACUCAUUUGAAAAUAAGCUGUUUUGUGCAGAUGCAAAUUUAAACAUGCUAUUUGUAACUAAUCACUGAUAAAAUAGAGAUUUCCAAAAUAUAUUGAGAAAAAGAGCUGCAGAAUAAUUAGUAAAUAUUUUACCUUUUAUGUAAAAAGUUAGGUAAAAUAAGACUGUGUUCAUAUUUGCAAGUUUCAUAAAAUCAGGAAGAAUGCAUUUAAAAAUUAAGUAAGCCAGGAGGGAUGGCUCAUGCCAGUAAUCCUUGCACUUUUGGUGACUGAGGUGGGAGGAUCACUUGAGCCCAGGAGUUUAAGGCCAGCCUGUGCAACAUAGAUCUCAUCUCUACAAAAAAAUUAAAAAAAUAGCUAGAUGUGGUGGCAUAUACCUAUAGUUCCAGCUACUCAGGAGGCUGAGAUGGGAGGAUCACUUGAGCCUAGGAGGCUGAACCUGCAGUGAGUCAUGAUUGCACCACUGCAUUCUAGCUUGGGUGACACAGUGAGACCCUGUCUCAAAAUAAACAAAACAAAACAAAAAAGAGAAGAAAAACUAUGGUAGAAGUGGUAGGGGGAAUUGAGGGAAUGGGGGAAAGGAGAGGCCAAAGACUUUUUCUAUGCCUUUUAAUACUUUCUCAUUUUUGAACCAUCUGAAUAUAUAUGAAUUGGGCAAAAAAAAUUUAAGCAAAAAAUAUUGCAUCUGUUUCUUUCAUUGUAACUAUGCUAAGUUUGGUGAAAAUUGUUCUUUAUUUUUAAAUUUUGUUUUCUCUUACACUAAACUAUUGUGAUGGUUAAUUUUAUGUGUUAAUUAUACUGGGCCAUGAUAUGCCCAGAUAUUUGGUCAAUCAAUAUUCUGGGUGUUCUGUUAGUGUAUUUUUGGAUGAGUUUGACUUAUUAAUAUUAUUGUUAAUAUUAUUUUUUAGACAGGGUCUCUCUCUCUGUCACCCAGGCUGGAGUGCAGUGGUACAAUCUUGGCUCACUGCAGCCUCGACCUCCUGGGCUCAAGUGAUCUUCUCACCUCAGCCUCCUGAGUAGCUGGGACUACAGGCAUGUGCUACCACACCUGGCCAAUUUUUCUAUUUUUUGUAGAGACAGGGUUUCACCAUGUUGCCCAAGCAGGUCUUGAACUCCUGGUCUCAAGCAAUCCCUCUACCUCUACUUUCCAAAGUGCUGGAAUUACAGGUGUAAGCCACCAUGCCUGGCUGAGUUUAACAUUUUUAAAUUUAAAUUUAAAUUUUUAUUUUUAUUUUUUUGAGAUGGAGUUUCACUCUUGUCGCCCUGGCUGGAGUACAAUGGUGCAAUCUCGGCUCACCACAACAUCUGCCUCCGGGUUCAAGCGAUUCUCCUGCCUCAGCCUCCCAAGUAGCUGGGAUUACAGGCACCUGCCACCAUGCCCAGUUAAUUUUUGUAUUUUUAGUGGAGAUUGGGUUUCACCAUGUUGGCUAGGCUGGUCUCGAACUCCUGACCUCAGGUGAUCCACCUGCCUCAGCCUCCCAAAGUGUUGGGAUUACAAACAUAAGCCACCACGCCCGGCCUUAAAUUUUUAUUUAUAUUUUGAGGGGGUCUCAUUGUGUUGCCCAGACUGGAGUGCAAUGGCACGAUCAUGGCUCACUGCAAUCUCCACCUCCUAAGCUUGAUUCUCCUGCCUCUGCCUCCUGAGUAGCUGGAACCACAGGUCUGCACCACCAUACCAGGCUAAUUUUUUGUAUUUUUGGUAGAGAAGGGGUUUCACCAUAGUGCUCAGGCUGGUCUCUAACUUGUGAGCUCAAGUGAUCCGCCCACCUCGGCCUCCCAAAGUGCUGAGAUUACAGGUGUGACCCAUGGCACCUAGCCGAGUUUAACUCUUAAAUAAAUAAACUGUGCCAGGCAUGGUGGCUUGUACCUGUAAUCCCAGCAAUUCAGGACAUGGAGGUGGGAGAAUUGCUUGAACCCAGGAGUUUGAGACCAGCAUGGACAACAUAGUGAGACCUUGUCUCUAAAAAUAUAAAAUUUUAAUUAAAAAAAAAACUGAAUAAAGCAAAUUACCCUCCCCAAUGUGGGUGGGCCUCAUCCCGUCAGUUGCAAGCCUGACUAGAACAAAAGCCUGGCCUCCCAGGAAGAAGAGGGAAUUCCUCCUGCCCGACUGUUUUUUAGCUGGGACAUUGGUUUUAUUUCUGCCUUUGAACUCAACCUGAAACACUGGCCGUUCCUGGAUUUUGAGCCUGCUGGCCUUCAAACUGGAUCUAUACCACUGGCUCUCCUGGGUCUCCAGCUUCCUGACUGCAGAUCUUGGGAUUUGUUGGUCUCAUAAAUAUUAUAUAUGUAUAUGUAAAAUAUUGAUUCUGUUUCUCUUUAAAAAGAAAAGACACCUGGCCAGGCACGGUGGCUCACACCUGUAAUCCCAGCACUUUGGGAGGCUGAGGCGGGUGCAUCACCUGAGGUCGGGAGUUUGAGACCAGACUGACCAACAUGGGAAAACCCUGUCUCUACUAAAAAUACAAAAUUAGCCGAGUAUGGUGGCACACACCUGUAAUCCCAGCAACUGGAGAGGCUGAGGCAGGAGAAUGGCUUGAACCUGGGAGGUGGAGCUUACAGUGAGCCACCGAGAAAGCGUCAUUGCACUCCAGCCUGGGCAACAAGAGCAAAUCUCCAUCUCAAAGAAAAGACAAGACAAGACACCUUUGAGGUCCUCUUCUGUUCCUCUGCACCAGAAAGCUUGGGAGAGUGGGGACAUAUUUUUCCCCCAUUGCUGCAUUCCUAGUAACUACAUGUGUGCUGCAAAAAAAAAAAAAAAUAGUUUAAGGGAUGAAUUGGUAGCUAUUGUUAUAUGUAAAUGUGAAAUUAAUAUCUACAAAUACAUAUCUGUAUUUAUAAAUUGUACUUACGUAGAGAAACAAAAAAAUAAAAAUAAUUGUAAUUACAUACU
This is a long non-coding RNA of Gorilla gorilla gorilla (western lowland gorilla), 6767 nucleotides long. RefSeq lists it as uncharacterized. Lineage: Eukaryota; Metazoa; Chordata; Mammalia; Primates; Hominidae. The record is from RefSeq and is a predicted model, not a curated record. The transcript is spliced from 6 exons.